CUGCAAUUGAUAAGGUACUGUAAAAAUGAAGAAGAAGAAGAAGAAGAAGAAGAUGGAUGUUGGUGUUGGUGGUACCUUGCAGUGAAGUACUAUACUUCUGUUAUUGAUUGUAAGAUGAUAAUGGGAAUCACUGCCAAUUUGUGGUGAAUAUUCUAAGGUGAAGAUUCUGUAGCCAGCUAAAACCUUCGGCCUUAAUGAAAUUGCUUCAGAUAGUGGUAGGCAAAGACUUUUUCGAUUUAAUGGGUGAGGAAUCCUUGCAGUAAAGUUGACCUAAGGCCGUACUAGCUCUGAAGAUAGAGUUUGAAAAGUUGUAUGAAUUUGGUUUUGGGGAUGGGGAAGUGUUAUGGACUCUCAUGAAGAAGGUGAAGAACUGAAGUCAUGGACAGGUUCUUUCCAAACUGAAGAAGAUUGAUGCAAUAUUGCAAUCCGAAGUGAUGAAUCUUCAAACUAGAGUUGAAGGACCCAUGCUGAAGAACCGGGAGUAAAGAGCUAAUUGAACCUGCAAAGAAUGGACACUGAGAUCUUCAAAUACCACACUUGAGGCAUUUAUCUCCUUUCACCCAAACAAAAGGUGUAACAAUCUGAGUUCAUGUAUUCAGUUAUAUAUACCUGUACAUACAAAUCUAUUUCACAAGUAGUAAAUGCUUAGAAACACUUAAAGUAAAUUAUCCACAUCUGCAUUUAAUGAUCAAAGUGUUGAAUUUUGAGGAUGAUUAUUUUUUAAGGGGGUGGGUUGUAAUACCCUAAACUUUUCAAUACUCACGUAUUUAAAGUCCUUGGCUGUUACCAUGAGAAUUUAAUUUGCAAUGUAAUGACCCGGUGGUUUGGUGCGUGUAUACAUGCACGUAGUACGAACACUUACAUAUAUUCAAGCUUGCAUGUGUAAGUUUAUCAAUCAAUCUUAUUUUAACUGUCCAAACACACUCUAACCUGAAUCUGCU
Magnolia sinica is the source of this 941-nucleotide long non-coding RNA. RefSeq lists it as uncharacterized. The record is from RefSeq and is a predicted model, not a curated record. NCBI's taxonomy places the organism in Eukaryota, Viridiplantae, Streptophyta, Magnoliopsida, Magnoliales, Magnoliaceae. The transcript is spliced from 3 exons.